UGGAGGGCAAGUCUGGUGCCAGCAGCCGCGGUAAUUCCAGCUCCAAUAGCGUAUAUUAAAGUUGUUGCAGUUAAAAAGCUCGUAGUUGAAUUUCGGGAUCAGUAUGCCGGUCGUGCCUUCGGUAUGUACUGACGUUACUGAUUUCUACCUUCUGACGAACCGUCAUGUCAUUAAUUUGGUGUGGCGGGGAAUCAGGACUGUUACUUUGAAAAAAUUAGAGUGUUUAAAGCAGGCUCGCGCUUGAAUACAUUAGCAUGGAAUAAUGAAAUAGGACGUUUGAUCUUAUUUUGUUGGUUUCUAGGAUCGACGUAAUGAUUAAUAGGGAUAGUUGGGGGCAUUAGUAUUCAAUUGUCAGAGGUGAAAUUCUUGGAUUUAUUGAAGACUAACUACUGCGAAAGCAUUUGCCAAGGAUGUUUUCAUUAAUCAAGAACGAAAGUUAGGGGAUCGAAGACGAUCAGAUACCGUCGUAGUCUUAACCAUAAACUAUGCCGACUAGGGAUCGGAUGAUGUUAAUUUUUUAAUGACUCAUUCGGCGCCUUACGGGAAACCAAAGUGUUUGGGUUC
Molecule: ribosomal RNA, 564 nt
Filed under: uncultured Glomeromycotina
Lineage: Eukaryota; Fungi; Glomeromycota
Description: SSU rRNA
Rfam family: Eukaryotic small subunit ribosomal RNA
Source: RNAcentral